RNAcentral lists this small RNA (125 nucleotides) under Marmota monax (woodchuck). The record is from RNAcentral. Lineage: Eukaryota; Metazoa; Chordata; Mammalia; Rodentia; Sciuridae.
GCCAGGCACGGUGGCGCACGCCUGUAAUCCCAGUGGCUCGGGAGGCUGAGACAGGAGGAUUGCAAGUUCAAAGCGAGCCUCAGCAAUGGCGAGGUGCUAAGCAACUCAGUGAAACCCUGUCACUA